UCAUUAAAUCAGUUACUAUCCAUUGGAUAUUAAGUAUCUACAUGGAUAACUGUGGUAAUUCCAGAGCUAAUACGUGCAACAUGCCUUGACCUCACGGGAUAGGAGCAUUUUAUUAGACCAAGAUCAACGGGAUCUCGCAAGAGGUUCCUUGUGAAUGGUGACUCUGAAUAACCAAGCGAAUCGCAUAGCCUCUGUGCUGGCGAUGAGUCCUUUGAGUAACUGCCUUAUCAACUUGAUGGUAGGUUAGACGCCUACCAUGGUUGUAACGGGUAACGGGGAAUCAGGGUUCGAUUCCGGAGAGGGAGCCUGAGAAACGGCUACCACAUCCAAGGAAGGCAGCAGGCACGCAAAUUACCCACUCUUAGUACGAGGAGGUAGUGACGAAAAAUACCGGUACGGGACUCUUAGGAGGCCCCGUAAUCGGAAUGAGUACGAUCUAAAUCCUCUAACGAGGAUCAAUUGGAGGGCAAGUCUGGUGCCAGCAGCCGCGGUAAUUCCAGCUCCAAUAGCGUAUAUUAAAGUUGUUGCGGUUAAAAAGCUCGUAGUUGGAUCUCGACUCAUGUUAGGCGGUCCACCUCACGGUGGUUACUGCUUGACUGAGUUAUCUACGGAUUUGUCUUUUGAUUCUCUUAACCGAGUGUCUUGAGCGAUCCGUUCGUUUACUUUGAACAAAUUAGAGUGCUUAAAGCAGGCAUCUCGUCUGAAUAAUCUUGCAUGGAAUAAUAGAAUAUGACUUCGAGUCUAUUCUGUUGGUCUUCGGAUCCGAAGUAAUGAUU
Molecule: ribosomal RNA, 776 nt
Filed under: Lebertia porosa
Lineage: Eukaryota; Metazoa; Arthropoda; Arachnida; Trombidiformes; Lebertiidae
Description: SSU rRNA
Rfam family: Eukaryotic small subunit ribosomal RNA
Source: RNAcentral